AAUCACAAAGACUCCUCGGCGUGCACCCCUAUUUAUAUUGCACGUAGGGGUGCAAACCAAAACAUCUCAUGCCCUCUCACACUUUAUCUCACACCUCCUUUCUAUUUCUCAUGCCCCAUAAAUUAUAAAAUGCCAUGUGUACAUCAAAGUUGGGUUGAAGAGGUGCCUUAUUUCAGAAGGACUCUUCGAUCUUAACUUACGGUGUUCAGAUGAGAAGUCACAAAGCUUCUCUUAUUGGCACCAUCAACCCAUGCCUUUGGAUCUGGAAGGAAGCCCAUCCAAUGGCCAAGAUA
RNAcentral lists this long non-coding RNA (293 nucleotides) under Elaeis guineensis (African oil palm). Its description in RNAcentral is "long non-coding RNA (EGUI_LNC076502)". Lineage: Eukaryota; Viridiplantae; Streptophyta; Magnoliopsida; Arecales; Arecaceae. The record is from RNAcentral.